CCUACGGGAGGCAGCAGUGAGGAAUAUUGGUCAAUGGGCGGGAGCCUGAACCAGCCAAGCCGCGUGAGGGAAGAAGGUACAGCGUAUCGUAACCCUCUUUUGUCAGGGAACAAAGGCGGGGACUAGUCCCCGGAUGAGGGUACCUGAAGAAAAAGCAUCGGCUAACUCCGUGCCAGCAGCCGCGGUAAUACGGAGGAUGCGAGCGUUAUCCGGAUUUAUGGGGUUUAAAGGGUGCGCAGGCGGCCUGUUAAGUCAGCGGUAAAGGCCCGGGGCUAAACCCCGGCGAGCCGUUGAAACUGGCGGGCUGGAGUUGGAGAGAAGUACGCGGAAUGCGCGGUGUAGCGGUGAAAUGCUUAGAUAUCGCGCAGAACCCCGAUGGCGAAGGCAGCGUACCGGCUCCACACUGACGCUGAGGCACGAAAGCGUGGGUAUCGAACAGGAUUAGAUACCCUAGUAGUC
This 459-nucleotide ribosomal RNA is filed under the name uncultured bacterium. Its description in RNAcentral is "partial 16S ribosomal RNA". It matches the Rfam family "Bacterial small subunit ribosomal RNA", at positions 338 to 795 of the family's 1533-position model. The record is from RNAcentral.